Molecule: ribosomal RNA, 252 nt
Filed under: uncultured bacterium
Lineage: Bacteria
Description: partial 16S ribosomal RNA
Rfam family: Bacterial small subunit ribosomal RNA
Source: RNAcentral
GACGAACGCUGGCGGCGUGCUUAACACAUGCAAGUCGAGCGGUAAGGCCUUUCGGGUACACGAGCGGCGAACGGGUGAGUAACACGUGGGUGAUCUGCCCUGCACUUCGGGAUAAGCCUGGGAAACUGGGUCUAAUACCGGAUAUGACCUCAGGUUGCAUGACUUGGGGUGGAAAGAUUUAUCGGUGCAGGAUGGGCCCGCGGCCUAUCAGCUUGUUGGUGGGGUAAUGGCCUACCAAGGCGACGACGGGUA